Molecule: ribosomal RNA, 406 nt
Filed under: uncultured bacterium
Lineage: Bacteria
Description: partial 16S ribosomal RNA
Rfam family: Bacterial small subunit ribosomal RNA
Source: RNAcentral
AUUGAACGCUGGCGGCAGGCCUAACACAUGCAAGUCGAACGAGUGGCGGACGGGUGAGUAAUGUCUGGGAAACUGCCUGAUGGCGGGGGAUAACUACUGGAAACGGUAGCUAAUACCGCAUACCAUCAGAUGUACCCAGAUGGGAUUAGCUUGUUGGUGGGGUACCGGCUCACCAAGGCGACGAUCCCUAGCUGGUCUGAGAGGAUGAUCAGCCACACUGGCACUGAGACACGGCCCAGACUCAUACGGGAGGCAGCAGUGGGGAAUAUUGCACAAUGGGCUAAAGCCUGAUGCAGCCAUGCCGCGUGUAUGAAGAAGGCCUUCGGGUUGUAAAGUACUUUCAGAGGGGAGGCGUUACCCGCAGAAGAAGCACCGGCUAACUCCGUGCCAGCAGCCGCGGUAAUAC